GUGGGGAAUAUUGGACAAUGGGCGCAAGCCUGAUCCAGCCAUGCCGCGUGAGUGAUGAAGGCCUUAGGGUUGUAAAGCUCUUUUACCUGGGAAGAUAAUGACUGUACCAGGAGAAUAAGCCCCGGCUAACUUCGUGCCAGCAGCCGCGGUAAUACGAAGGGGGCUAGCGUUGUUCGGAAUCACUGGGCGUAAAGCGCACGUAGGCGGAUUGUUAAGUCGGGGGUGAAAUCCUGAGGCCCAACCUCAGAACUGCCUUCGAUACUGGCAAUCUCGAGUUCGGAAGAGGUUGGUGGAACAGCUAGUGUAGAGGUGAAAUUCGUAGAUAUUAGCUAGAACACCAGUGGCGAAGGCGGCCAACUGGUCCGAUACUGACGCUGAGGUGCGAAAGCGUGGGGAGCAAACAGGAUUAGAAACCCGAGUAGUCC
This 425-nucleotide ribosomal RNA is filed under the name uncultured bacterium. RNAcentral describes it as "bacterial SSU rRNA". It matches the Rfam family "Bacterial small subunit ribosomal RNA", at positions 354 to 796 of the family's 1533-position model. The record is from RNAcentral.